RNAcentral lists this long non-coding RNA (2744 nucleotides) under Canis lupus familiaris (dog). RNAcentral's name for it is "lncRNA (ENSCAFG00845017175.1)". Lineage: Eukaryota; Metazoa; Chordata; Mammalia; Carnivora; Canidae. The record is from RNAcentral.
ACUGAAUCCUAGCAACCACAUUCUGAAAAGCUGUCUUACCUUCAUUUUAUAGGGAAACUAAAGCUCAGAGAAGGAACUUUCCUAAAGUCCACAGGAGUAUCACAUCUACACUCAGGUCCCCUGACUUCCAAAUCUGGAUUAUUACAAAGAAAUCCCAGGAUGGAAUUGUGAAGGGAUGUGUCUGCAGCCGGUGAGGAAGCCCAGGCACACAGAAUCCUGCAGACCUCCCCAGCCCCUCCGCAUCCACAGAGAGCACUCAGCCUAUCUUGAUCAACAGUCGGCAGCAACACAUUGCAGAUAUAAUCUCAAGACCUUGUGGCAUGUACUUGUCACUACAUGCAUAACUUACUAUGGACAGAGGAUCACGGAGAUUUUGAACAUAAUUUCCCACACGACAGGAGAUUAAAUAGACCACAUUGGAAGAAGGCAAGAAGAAGCUAGGUCUCUGGAGUACCAAAAAGUAAACUUCAGCCAGUUCUGGAAGCAUAUAAACAGCAGGAAAUAUACUUGCCGAUGGGCUACUUUCUCAAGAGUUCCUGCUUUCUAGAACUCUGGGGAAAGAAUGAGUUAGUGGGUAAGAAUGUAAGAGGAAAAAGGACCUUCCCUGGAAAGAUUUGGAGUGGAAGAAAAUCCGUGUCUCCUCAUUUAUGUAUGACUUUCUCCUCUCCCUUUGUGAUGCCCCUUUCUUGAAGAAUCCGCUCCCCCAGGUUCACUCCAUCAGAACCUACUCCUGAGACUGCAUUCCUGGCACCUAUAGUGAGGUGUUAAGUCAAUGCCCUACCUUUCAGUAUGUAUGUAAAUAUCAAGCUUUCUUUCUAUGUUUUUUUUUUUUUUUCCAGUGAAGAAUUACUGGCUAUCAACAAAUAAAUAAGAGAAGGCAUUAGGGUCCAAAAGCACUUUUUAGGUCUCCCAGAAACCAUUCUACCCAGCAUCCUACAGUACCAUCUUGGACCUGCUGUGCCUAGUUUCCUUACUUGUGAAAACAAAAGAACAGUAGAACCUAACUCACGUGACUCUUGCAAAGAUGAUAGGAGUUCACCCUUAGAAAGCCUGACACGUUGUAAGUGCUUGGUAUGUAUUUAUUAUUAUUACCAUUAUUAGUAUAUGACAUAAAAGCCUUUCUGAAACAAAAAAAUCACAUGAAAUCAUCAACAGUCAUCAUCAUGAAUGAAAGCAUGUAUGGAGCUGGUUUACGAUGCGGUGUGGCAUCGUGGUUAAGAACACAGGUUUUCAAAGUCGACCACCUGUGCCCAAAACCUGGUGUUGCCACAUGGCCUUAUAUGACAUGGGCCUCAGAUUUCUAAGCUGAAAAGGGGGAAACAAUGUCUAUUACACAGAAUUGCUGUGAAGAUUAAACCACCUAAGAACUGUAAGACACUGAACAGUGCCUGAUAUAAAAUAAACACCCAAUAAAUGAGAGCGGGGGGGAAAAAGAGUGCUCUUCAACCGAGAUUUAUCUUCAGAAAUUGUUUUGUUCAGAAACUGACUGACUGUUUGGAAAUAUUACUGUUGGAGCUGGAAGGCUACAAAUAACCCCUGAGAUGUGAGCCAGUGAAGAAAUAGGUAUCAGAGUCAUCCGGUCAUAGCUGUGGGAGUCGAAUGGACUUCCCAACACCACAACCUUGAAUGAGGCACACUCGCCCUACAGUCCUUGACCAAGCAGUACUGCAGGCCACCUCAAAGAUGGGAAUGAAAACCAAAACUGGCUGAGUUUCACCAGCUCCACUACUUCUUCCAAACACAGUCUUCAGAUAAGUCUCUCCUCUUCCCAAGGGGAAGGAAGACUGGGUGAAUUUGUGGUAUAAGGCUGGAAACUUUUCUUCCUUAUUUUUUCUUCAUGAAGUGAGGAGUAGAAAUGCCGUGCCCUCUAUGGGCACUUGCAGAUUAUAAAAGCUUCCCCCAACAUUUGGCCUUAACUAAUACAUUCAUAUGUUUCUAGAGCCACAUGGUCUAUAUGGAGAAACUAAGUGAGGCUGCCCUCCAGAGUACACUGAUAAACAUCACUGCUAAGUAUAAAUAUUUUAUUUUUUUGUGACAGUUUGUCUUCAAGACGACCAGCUACAAUUCCUCCUCUCUCCCAUAUAUGCCAUUCCUCCAUCUAGAGUUGGAGCUUUUCCUCCACCCUACUGAAUCUGGGCUAGCGUGUGACUGCUUUGAUGGGUAGGAUACAUCAGAAGCAGUGCUGCUUGGACUCCCAGGCUAGGGUGUAAGAUACCUUGCAACUUCUGCCUGGUUCUCUGGGAAUGCUUGUUCUGGAAGAAGCCAGCUUUCAUGAAAGUAAGAAUCAAAUUGCCCUGAAACCUCUGGGCUAUGAGGAAAUCCAAGGUAGCCAUGUGGAGAGGGAGAUGCCCAGCCAGCCCCUAGAUGUUCCAAUCAUCCCACCUGACACGUGGGAAUGAAGAAUCCAUCUAUUCAGCCAGUUCUUUUUUUUUUAUUUUUAUUUUUUUUUAUUUUUUAUUCAGCCAGUUCUUCAGAUGAUCCAUCCCCAGCUAUAAACAUUAGGGAAAUUUCAAGUGAAAACCACCCAGCCAAGCCCAUUCAACUCACAGAACUAUGGGAGAUCAUGAGUAGUAUUUGGUGAUUUCAAGAAACUAAGUUUUAGGGUGUUCGUCAUACAGCAAUUGAUCACCAAAUACUCCCUUUAACAGACUAUACCAAAUUUCUCACUGAACUUGUUUUUUGUUUGUUUAUUUAUUUUAUUUAUUUAUUUAUUUUUUUGGAUCUCACUCAAAUGGCACUUGAAC